Papio anubis (olive baboon) is the source of this 162-nucleotide unclassified non-coding RNA. It matches the Rfam family "Metazoan signal recognition particle RNA". Rfam says of the family: The signal recognition particle (SRP) is a universally conserved ribonucleoprotein. The record is from Ensembl. Lineage: Eukaryota; Metazoa; Chordata; Mammalia; Primates; Cercopithecidae.
GCCAGGGGUACUGGCACACACCUGUAACAGUUCCAGUUACUUAGGAGGCUAAGGCAGGAGGAUUGCAUGAGCCUAGGAGUUCAGGGCUACAGUGUGCUAUGACCAUGACUGUAAAUAGCUACUGUACUCCAGCCUGGGCAACAUAGCAAGACCCUGCCUCUA